CUAUGUGUUGUUGGGUAGGGGAGCGUUCUGUAAGCCUGUGAAGGUGGCCUGUGAGGGUUGCUGGAGGUAUCAGAAGUGCGAAUGCUGACAUAAGUAACGAUAAAGCGGGUGAAAAGCCCGCUCGCCGGAAGACCAAGGGUUCCUGUCCAACGUUAAUCGGGGCAGGGUGAGUCGACCCCUAAGGCGAGGCCGAAAGGCGUAGUCGAUGGGAAACAGGUUAAUAUUCCUGUACUUGGUGUUACUGCGAAGGGGGGACGGAGAAGGCUAUGUUGGCCGGGCGACGGUUGUCCCGGUUUAAGCGUGUAGGCUGGUUUUCCAGGCAAAUCCGGAAAACCAAGGCUGAGGCGUGAUGA
RNAcentral lists this ribosomal RNA (353 nucleotides) under Escherichia coli. Its description in RNAcentral is "partial 23S ribosomal RNA". It matches the Rfam family "Bacterial large subunit ribosomal RNA", at positions 1214 to 1569 of the family's 2925-position model. The record is from RNAcentral. Lineage: Bacteria; Pseudomonadati; Pseudomonadota; Gammaproteobacteria; Enterobacterales; Enterobacteriaceae.